CGAGAAUCGAACUUGGGUCCUUGCGCUUGCGUAGCAGGCGGUGAAACCACUGAGCUAAAUCCCUGGCCCCGUGUCCUUUGUUUUUUAAGAUUAUUUAUAGUUUGGUCCAGGGAUGUAGUUCAGUGGUUCUGCCGCCUGCCUUGCAAGCCUAAGGUCCCAAGUUCAAUCCCUGGUACAAAAAAGCAAUGAAGAAGAUUAUUUAUACUUGGAGUUUCUCCUGUAAGAGAAGUCACGUGAUACUCAGGCCUGUAAAGUUUUACUGGAACCCCACCCAUCCCCUAAAAAUUGAAGUGAAAUUUCUUUUCCUCUGUGGUGUGUUCUGCCGAGUUUCAAGACUUCUGUCCCUCUCGCCUCUGUCUCCUGACCAAAGCCUUCCUUUCUCUCCUUGUUUAGACUCGAAUUGCUUCAACUGGCGGGAAGGGGCUCUUAAUGGGAACUACCUUAAACGAAAGCUUCAGGAUGCAGCAGAACAACUAAAACAGUAUGAAAUAAACGCCACUCCUAAAGGCUGGUCCUGCCACUGGGACAGGACCUCUGGAAGCACCUACUCCUGAUUAACCUCGGCGAAGUUAAGGGAAGCUUCGUGGCUGAAGAGUGAACGAAGAACAAGAUUACUAUCCUCUGCCAGCAGCUCCCAGAUCCUCUCCCUCUCUUUAGCUUUCACUGUGUUUGAUAUCAAGAAUAUGAACUGUGAAUUCCACGGUCCAAGAGGGGAAGAGUCACCUUUCACAAACUGCGCUGUUCUCUUCUUUGGAAGGGAAAUUAGUGUUCUAGGCGAUUGAGUCCCUCCAUUAAUGCAGCUGCACCCUGUUACGCAUUGGCAAAAAGCAAAAAGAGAGAUGUUGUCAGAGUCAUGUGCUGGAGCGGGGGCGCAGGGCUGUAUUCACAGAGCUGCUGUGUGCAAAUAGCUUUGAGCUCUCCCUGGUUCUCCCUCCUCAGUGUCAAAGCUCUUUGUCGCCUUUGUGAAUAGCAGUCCGUAAGAGGAGGUUCAUCCCCGUGCAAGCAGACUGCUGCACUGGGGCAGGACCGAGUGCAAGUGUCCUUGUAGGGGAGCGGGCUCUGAAACCUGUGUUUUCUUUCUUGUAAUUUAGGGAUCAUAGACGGUAUUUCUAUGUAAACGAGCAGUCGGGCGAGUCUCAGUGGGAGUUCCCAGAUGGUGAGGAGGAGGAGGAGGAAGGCCAUGCACCAGAGAGUAGAGAUGAGACUCUUCCCAAAUCCACCUUGAAGGACAAACCUGGCGCUGAAUCAAAUGCCACAGAGUCCUCUGAGAACCCCACAGGUGAGAUGGUUUACCCUGCCUGGUUGGACUGCACUGAUUUUAGAAAACAAGUCAGGAAUUUAUCAGAAAAGAAAAGCAUUUAUGACAUAAGCUAAAUUUUAGAGUGACUUGAACUAAAUGUAUGAGUUAUACUAAAAUGAAGGCAGUGACUGGUUUGGAAAUCAGCAUAACAUGGAUCAGACUGUGCCCCCGAAUGAGAAGAGGGACCAGGACCACUGUGUGUCUGCCGGGCAUCAUGGGCCACGCCUGUCCUUGCAGCGUUCUGGAGGCUGGCAGGUCGUAGCCCAGCUCGGGCAGUUAGUGACUUAGUGACACCUUGAUGGUGCUUAGUCUCUCGGUGUUGCCACCACAUUUGCCACUUCCACUGCUCUUUAAAGCGUCUUUGGUACAAAUCAGAGUGACAGGAGGAAAUGCCAUGAACUGGUACCAUACUCUUUUCAGAAGAGCUAGAUGGAGCCAGGGAUGUAGCUCAGUGGCACCUCACCUGCCUGGCAAGCGCAAGGUCCUGAGUUCGAUCCCCAGGAUGGGCGAUGGGGGACCUAGAUAAUUGAUCCUUGAAAAAAUUGUCAGCAUCAUUCGUCCGUCACUUUCCUAAUUGCUGGGAAAAAUUACCUGACACCCAUGGUUUAGAGGAAGAGAGGUUUCUUUUGGCUCCAAGGCAAGGGGCCUGGUAGAAAGGCCUGGGUAGAGGGAAGCUGAGAACAGAGGCACCCAGGAGGGAGAUGAACACUUCUGGUCACACCCGGAAGUGACCAGACCCUCCUCCCAAGACCCAGUCGGUGAUAGCACCCCUCAGAGCAUUCCCAUCCAGAGCCCUGCCUGUGAGCAGCAGAGGCAAGGCGUGGGGAGCGCUCUCGGUCCAAAGCAUCACAGCAAUACAGCAUGCAGCACUCAGACCCAGGACUCACCCCAUUUAACAAGGGGGCUUUCAUAGCCCCUUAGUUACUGUGAGGAUCCAGUUAGCUCUUCAGAAGAGCCACAACUUGAUUGCCACUUCAUAAAAGAAACUACAUUUCCCCCCAUUCCAUUUCACUUGGAAUGGUAAAUAAAGAAAAUGGUAAAGCAUAGACUAUGACUUAACAACCUUUUGAUCUUAAAACACAUUAGCUGGUUGUUAAAGUUGCAAAGGCAAGAGUCUUCUCCCUGUCAGAAACAGUGGUCUGCUGGCUGCUGGCUGCUGGCUGCUGGCUGCUGGGUCCCGGUAGCAGUGUCCUGGUGAUGCACAGAUGAUGCCCUCUGGUCCCUGAGGACCGCAGGUCUUAGGCAGCCCGGACGCCACAAUCAGCUCCCCUGAAGGCCGCAGUGACAGUUUCGGGAACAGCGAAGGGCGGCUUGCGUCUACUCACAUCUCCGCAGUGCCUGGCGUUCCUCUUGUGCACGUGGCCCUCCUUGGGUGCUGUGGUGGCCUUGCCUGCGGAUCUCUGUAGUGCAGAUGGCGCACUCCUGACUGCAACUGCGCCGCCUGUGCUGGGAGUCAGGGCCUCUGCAGUUGCUCAGCUGGAGAGGGCGCCUGGGAGCUGAGUAGCCAAGGAGCCUGCAGAGCCGCUGUCCAUGCCGCAAGGGCGGUGCUGCCCAGUGCAAGAUCAGAGUCGCGCUUAGCUGAUUAAAACAGAAUAAACUGCUGCAGAGAAAAAAAAAAACAUUGACAAACUGACAUUUAUUUUCAAGCCUCUCUAGUGAGCAUACCUAGAACAUGAUAAGCUUUGUCUAAAUAAAAUGCAAAUCAGCCGGGCAUGGUCACACAUGUCUGUAACCCAGCACUCUGGGACGCUGAGGCAGGAAGGUUGGCAAGUUCAAACUCAGACUAGGAAACUUAGCAAGACACUGUCUCAAAAUAAAAUAUGAGGGCGGGGAUUUAGUUCAGUGGUGCUGCCGCCUGCCUUGCAAGUGCAGGGUCCUGAGUUUGAUCCCCUACCAAAAAAAUAAAUAAAUAAAACUUUAAAACCCGAAAAGGUCUGAAGGUGUAGCUCAGUGUAAAGGCCUUGUGUUCAGUACCCAGACCACACACACACACACACACACACACACACACACACACACACACACACACACACACACACACACACGGUAAAGCCAGGUGUGGUGGUGCACUCCUGUAGUCCUGGUGCCUGAGAGGCUGGGGGCGGGGCUCACAAGUUUGAGGUCAGCCUGAAUUAUAGACUCAGAGUCUGUCUCCGAAAAGUGAAUUUGUUUAUUUAUAUAUUUGUAAUUAGAGAAUACUUCAUUAGUUUCUGUAAUCAAACCCAUGUAGGUAAAAUGUUAUAUGUUUAAUACAGCAUAUAACUCCCUAUACAAUAGAAAAAAAUUAUCUAGUGUUUCCAGACCAGUAUUGUUGUUAAUCUUGUUCAGUGCCGUUCUAAGUACUAGCACAGCUAGUUUCCAAAACUUCAGAUUUUAUAUAUAACAGUAAUUACGGUAUCAAAUUUUAAGAAUAAAAAUAUUGCAAUUUCUGGAGUUGUAGCUUAGCACAGUCCCUGGGGUCACUCCCCAGUACUUCAAAACAAAAUGAAGAAAGAAAGAUAAAGAACAGUGGGCUAGAAUAUGUAUGAGCCCAUGGCUGCAUCCCCAGCGUGGGGCGGCGAACCUUGUAGAGACUUCAGUGACACAAGCAGCCUGCUGUGGCACACGCGCCUGAGGUUCACCACCGCUGGCCUAGCAGCUCAGAAGCAAAAGAGAAGAGUGACUGCACUAGGAGGCACCAGGGGAGUGUGGAGUUGGCUUUCUCUUUUGUGGUUUGGUCCUGGGACGGAAGCUGGAGCCUCGCAUGUGCCCUCGAAGGCUCUGCCUGCCACGCUGCAGGACACACCCACACUUGCACGGCCCUUCUCCACGCAAGCCCUCAAUGGGUGGCACCUGGGUGUGCGGCAAGCGAUCUCUUUGCUGCCUCACAUGUCAUUCAGGUUGCACCAAGCUGCCUUUUGUAACCUCCAUGGAAACUGGCCUUUGAUUCAAAAUAGCAGUCAUUUAUUUCUCUGGGGGUAAAUAAGAGAGGCUGCUUAUAAAUAUAAAUUUAAGGCUGGGGAUUUAGUUCAGUGGUUCUGCCGCCUGCUUCACAAGCACAAGGACCCGAGUUUACGAUCCCCAGUACCCAAAAAAUAAAUAAACAAAUAUAAAUUUAUUUUAAUCUCUGGACUUCAGAAUUAAAUAUUUUCUUCCAUGAGAGAAAUGCUAACUAGAUUAAGCGUAGAAACAAGGAGAACUGUCAUGUUAGCAGAUGUUGGUGGUAUACAAGUCAGGGUUUCCUGGUUUGUCUGUAUUUACUCAAAGGAAGUAAUUACCAGUGUUCAGGAUGCAGCUUUUAUGUUUUGAGUGAACGUAGUUUGAGAUUCAAACAUUGUAAGAAUGCUCGUUGGUGACUAAAUUUGUCAAGUGCGGUUUACUAUUCACACAAGCUUUAGUUCAUUCCGAUGAGCAUGAUGGGAAGGCACGGAGCAUGUUAAAUUGACCUUGGCCUGCCGUGCAUCCUGGGCCCCUCCACCCUGCAGCCUGUUACCCCAGCAACGUCACCAGUAUCGCCCGGCGCUGCUGGGUGAGGAGCCUGCUGUUAACAGCUCCACUCCACAUGUUGUGGCUAGUUUGGUAGAAGGAAGUUUAAUUUUUAGUUAAUAAUUAAUCUCCAAUGUUUAUUACCUUAGUUCUGAUGUGAUUAUUUUAUUUUGAGACAGGGCCUGGCUUUGUAGUUCAGGCUGCCCUGGAACUCGCCACCAUGCCCAGCUAAUUCUGUUGUAAUCUUGAUGUGCUGUGAUCUAAUUUAGGCUUCCUGGCCAUACCCAGGCUUUGUCUGUAAGUUCACACAUCAGUUAAUAUCACAUAAUACCAAAUACAAAAAUGUAGUGAGUCAUUUGAUUUCUUUUAGCUGGAAAACUGCAUUUAUGUUUUCCUAGUACCUAAGUUUUUCAGUGGCAUUUUCAUAGCAGUACAAGAAUGUCUCCUCAUAUAAAAACAAUGUAAACCGUAUUAAGGUCUUUUUUACACUGUGUAUCAUGUAUCUGUUCCAUAAAAGCAGAGCUACUCUAAAUGCCAAAUACCUUCUGAUUGCUUGGGUUUUGCCUUGUCAGACACUGCCAGUGCAGUAUUUUGGGGUUUUUUGAGGCAGGGUCCCUGUGUGACCUACACUGGCCUUGAAAUUUGCCAUCCUCCUGCUUCAGCCUCCUGAGUGCUGGAGUUACAACCAUGCACCACCACACCAGCUCUGUGCCACUUUAGACCAUGAAACUUGACAGGUAACGUAUCUGGAGUCCAUGAAAAGUGAGAUUUAUCUUGAGAUUUCUAAAUCUCUUGGACUCGUGAUAUUUCAGCAGGCCGUCUUGGUGAGGUAGGAAGUACUCAGGGGAAUCAGACUGGGCUCCGGCGUGGCCCUGGCACUGUAGCCAGGUGGUGUUGGGAAUCAGUACCUGCCUGGGUUUCAUUACCUUUAAAGCAAGAGGGUGAAUUAGAUGAUUUCUCAUGUCUCUUCUACUCCUAAAUUCUGUGAUUUUAGGGAGAAAAUCCCUCAGCACUCCUGGGAUGUAGAUCUAAUAGUCCCAUAUAUUGUGGCACUUCCCUCCUGGCGCUAAGGAGGGAUGGGGAAGGCUCCAAGUAAGUAUAUCCUCCCCCCUCCUCUCCCUUCACCUUCCCCUGCAGAGCAGCGGCAGGAGUCCUGGUGGCCGUCUCCAGAUUGGAGAAAGGCUGGUGCUGCCGCUUUUCAGAUGCAGUCUCUUGACUCAGACUUGAGCAACAGCAGUCUUAGAUCCUCUGCAUCCUGAAACACUGUUUUUGGAAAUCUGAGUUUUCAUUUACCUGGGGGAUGUGCCCUCCUAAAUUUCCCCUUUGGCAUUGCAGAGCUAAGUGUGGCCCUCGCCUCACCUGGUUGCUGAUUUACAGGUGCAGGUGACUCAGACACAGGAAGGAUGCAGUCGGUGGUGGGUUUUACUCUAGCUGCUCAGCAGGCGGGGGCGGGCAUGCGGGGAGCGGUGCCCGGUGUCCAGUGUCUCCGCACACUCGCUCAGAAGUAAAGGGUGGAGCCAGGGUCACAAGUGUGCACUUGGAAGCAAGAGGACCCUAGCCUAGUGUAUCUCGGUCGAAACUGAACAUCAGAAAUGGAAGAUUCUCAACUCCAGACUGAGGCCCGAGGGUCUCUGGGUCACAGGGAGCGAGGUGUGUGAGCCAGCCGGGGACGUGCUCGCCCCAGGCUGGUCCCUGCCCCUUGGCAUGGAGGCCCCUGGGAGCCGAGCUGCGUCCUGGGUCCUGUCCCCACUUCUGACCCGCCUUGUGUGCUCGCUGGCCCGGCCUGGCCUGAUGGCCGCGUCCCUCCAGCCCGCCUUGGUUCCCUGUGGCGCUGCUUCCCUAACACCUCUCUGUUUCCGUAGGUUCCCUUUGUAAAGAAUCCUUUUCUGCUCCAGCAUCGUCUGCGUCACUCAUGCCGCUCACUCCCUUCUGGACCCUGCUGCAGUCCAGUGUGCCUGUGCUGCAGCCACCCCUGCCGCUGGAGAUGCCCCCGCCGCCGCCGCCUCCAGAGUCCCGCCCCGCCCCCGCCCCCACCCCCCCCCGGCCGAGGACGGCGAGAUCCAGGAGGUGGAGAUGGAGGACGAGGGCAGCGAGGAGCCUCCCGCGCCCGGGACAGAGGAGGACCCACCUCUGAAGCCGGCAGCACAGGCCGCCGUUGUCACCAGCCAGAGCACUGUGGAUGCCGCCAUGUCCAGCCCUCCUUCCACUAAGGCGGUGAAGAGAAAGGCGGCGGAAAUGAGCAGCGCAGUGGUUCAGCGGUCGGCCACCAUCGGGAGCUCCCGGUCAUCUACAGCCAGCCGCCCGUGGCCACAGGUCUCCAGGCCACAGGGAUUGGACACCAGCCCGUGUCCCUGAGCCACAUGGCCACAGGCAUGGGUCACCAGGCCCGAGGGUUGAGCCUGCAGUCCAGCUACCUGGGCCUCACGCCGGCCAUCGUGAGUUACACCGAGUGCUCUGUCCCCAUGGGAGUGACCACGGCCUCCCUGCAGCCAGUCCAGGCGCGCCCGGCAGCCGCUGCCAUAGAGCCACCACCUCCACCACCGCCGCCUCCUUCUACGCUGCCACCACCACCAGCUCCCAAGCGCCACCCCGGAGAAGACAAAGAAAGGAAAGAAAGAUAAGGCGAAGAAGAGUAAAACCAAAAUGCCAUCUUUGGUAAAGAAGUGGCAGAGUAUCCAGCGAGUUAGAUGAGGAGGAAAACUCAAGUUCCAGCGAGGAGGACCGGGAAUCCACAGCCCAGAAGCGCAUUGAGGAGUGGAAGCAGCAGCAGCUGGUCAGUGGCAUGGCAGAGAGAAAUGCUAAUUUUGAAGCCCUUCCUGAGGACUGGCGAGCAAGACUAAAGAGAAGGAAAAUGGCUCCAAACACAUAGUUUAAAUUUUUUUAAAAAAUUUUGUUUUGUUUUGUGUUGGUUCAGAGUCCUAACCAGUCUUACUGUUGUCCAGUAAACUAAAUGUUAUGGGGAACGUGCGCGCUUGCUGGUGAAGCACAUUCGCCGCGUAGUGUCAUCCUCUCCUGCAGUGUCACUGUCUUGGUUUUGCCAAAGGAGGUGAUGGGACAGCUUCGACCUGGCUGGCCUUACUCCGAUGCUGGCCACCCCGGCACGGCAAGUAUGAGCCUGCCGCCUCUGCGAGGCUUAGCGACAAGUGGAGGCUUUGCCUGCCUGCUAGAGCUGAGCUCCGUCCUAAUGUGGCUCUGACUUCUACUCCGACAAGUGCAAUUAGAAGCAGCUCUGCCUGCCUUGCUUGGCUUCAGACCCCUCCGCUUACCGCCUGGGAGCGCUGAGCUGUCAGGCUGAUGUGCCCAGGAGUCCUGUCUCACAGGCUGGGAGCCCAGUCAUUUGCAUGCCAGGUGGCAGGGUUCCAUUGUGAUACAGGCAGCAGUGGCCACGGUGGUUCAGAUCCUCGGUUUUGAGAGAUUUCCCAAAUACACAGCAGGAAGUGUACCAAGGGCCACUCUGUGUCUAGUGUGUCCGUUGUACCCUGUCCCAGAGUCACCUCCCUGCUCUGUGAAUGUGGACUCCAUAAAAUUCCAGUAUUUAAAAGGCAGUUUGCUGUUGUACUUUCUGUUGUAUCACAAUCAGGUAAAGUCACUUUAAACUGAAGAAAAAACAAAUUGUGUUUUAAAGCUGUUUUUAUUUCUCCAAUUUCUGACCUUGUAAAUUUUGUAUAUAUGCACUAAUAAAACUCUUUUUAUACUUGUG
This 8465-nucleotide long non-coding RNA is filed under the name Heterocephalus glaber (naked mole-rat). RNAcentral describes it as "lncRNA (ENSHGLG00000050670.1)". The record is from RNAcentral. Lineage: Eukaryota; Metazoa; Chordata; Mammalia; Rodentia; Bathyergidae.